GUCAAUAUGUCCGAGUGGUUAAGGAGACAGACUCAAAAUUUGUUAUGCUACGACUGCAUAGGUUCGAAUCCUACUAUUGACG
Non-coding RNA from Cucurbita moschata (crookneck pumpkin), 82 nucleotides. NCBI's taxonomy places the organism in Eukaryota, Viridiplantae, Streptophyta, Magnoliopsida, Cucurbitales, Cucurbitaceae. The record is from the annotation of a RefSeq genome assembly.